Molecule: non-coding RNA, 110 nt
Organism: Coniochaeta sp. PMI_546
Lineage: Eukaryota; Fungi; Ascomycota; Sordariomycetes; Coniochaetales; Coniochaetaceae
Source: the annotation of a GenBank genome assembly
GACCGUUUAGCUCAGUGGUUUAGAGCGUGUGCCUCACAGCUAUCGUAAGAUUUCGUUACGAUAGAACAUAUGGACGCACAAGGUCGCAGGUUCGAACCCUGCAUCGGUCA